GUACUUACUCCUACGGGAGGCAGCAGUGGGGAAUUUUGGACAAUGGGGGAAACCCUGAUGCAGCGACGCCGCGUGAACGAAGAAGGUAUUCGUAUCGUAAAGUUCUGUCCUAUGGGAAGAUAAUGACAGUACCAUAGAAGAAAGCUCCGGCUAAAUACGUGCCAGCAGCCGCGGUAAUACGUAUGGAGCGAGCGUUGUCCGGAAUUAUUGGGCGUAAAGGGUACGCAGGCGGUUUAAUAAGUCGAAUGUUAAAGAUCGGGGCUCAACCCCGUAAGGCAUUGGAAACUGAUAAACUUGAGUAGUGGAGAGGAAAGUGGAAUUCCUAGUGUAGUGGUGAAAUACGUAGAUAUUAGGAGGAAUACCAGUAGCGAAGGCGACUUUCUGGACACAAACUGACGCUGAGGUACGAAAGCGUGGGGAGCAGACAGGAUUAGAAACCCCGGUAGUCCAGGCAU
This 455-nucleotide ribosomal RNA is filed under the name uncultured bacterium. RNAcentral describes it as "bacterial SSU rRNA". It matches the Rfam family "Bacterial small subunit ribosomal RNA", at positions 329 to 802 of the family's 1533-position model. The record is from RNAcentral.